Molecule: unclassified non-coding RNA, 270 nt
Filed under: Hevea brasiliensis (rubber tree)
Lineage: Eukaryota; Viridiplantae; Streptophyta; Magnoliopsida; Malpighiales; Euphorbiaceae
Source: RNAcentral
GUCCUUGGUGAAGCCAUGAACAUCUAGAAAUCUUUUAUACAAUUUUCUCUGUAAAGGAGAAAGCUUUACAGACAUCACAUAGACAGUUUUUGGUGGCAAAUCCAUUUUCACGACAUUCAUGUCCAUUCUUUGAACAAAUCCUUUUAACUGUUCAUAGAGAAUAUGAGAUCGCUGAUUCAUAAUCUUAACAUCAUCAGCUGUAGAAUUGGUGUGUUGACCAUUUUCUAUCGGAUUCUGAAAGCGGUUUCUAAUUUCAUGACUGCUGCCAAG